Molecule: transfer RNA, 73 nt
Filed under: Bos taurus (domestic cattle)
Lineage: Eukaryota; Metazoa; Chordata; Mammalia; Artiodactyla; Bovidae
Also listed under: 1 other name
Rfam family: tRNA
About the family: Transfer RNA (tRNA) molecules are approximately 80 nucleotides in length. Their secondary structure includes four short double-helical elements and three loops (D, anti-codon, and T loops).
Source: Rfam by way of RNAcentral
UCCCUGGUGGUCCAGAGGCUAAAGCGCCAUGCUCCCAAUGCAGGGGGCCCAGGUUCAAUUCCUGGUCAGGGAA